CUCGGGGAUAGCCUUUCGAAAGAAAGAUUAAUACCCGAUGGCAUAGUUCUUCCGCAUGGUGGAACUAUUAAAGAAUUUCGGUCAUCGAUGGGGAUGCGUUCCAUUAGGUUGUUGGCGGGGUAACGGCCCACCAAGCCUUCGAUGGAUAGGGGUUCUGAGAGGAAGGUCCCCCACAUUGGAACUGAGACACGGUCCAAACUCCUACGGGAGGCAGCAUG
This 218-nucleotide ribosomal RNA is filed under the name uncultured bacterium. RNAcentral's name for it is "partial 16S ribosomal RNA". It matches the Rfam family "Bacterial small subunit ribosomal RNA", at positions 136 to 353 of the family's 1533-position model. The record is from RNAcentral.